This 56-nucleotide small RNA is filed under the name Arabidopsis thaliana (thale cress). RNAcentral describes it as "ATSL104860". The record is from RNAcentral. Lineage: Eukaryota; Viridiplantae; Streptophyta; Magnoliopsida; Brassicales; Brassicaceae.
UUAUUGAUUAUAUUCACCGUCUCUCAGUCCUAUUUUGCUAUCUAUUGGAACUUAUC